GACGAAAGUCUGACGGAGCAACGCCGCGUGAGUGAUGACGGCCUUCGGGUUGUAAAGCUCUGUUAAUCGGGACGAAAGGCCUUCUUGCGAAUAGUUAGAAGGAUUGACGGUACCGGAAUAGAAAGCCACGGCUAACUACGUGCCAGCAGCCGCGGUAAUACGUAGGUGGCAAGCGUUGUCCGGAAUUAUUGGGCGUAAAGCGCGCGCAGGCGGAUAGGUCAGUCUGUCUUAAAAGUUCGGGGCUUAACCCCGUGAUGGGAUGGAAACUGCCAAUCUAGAGUAUCGGAGAGGAAAGUGGAAUUCCUAGUGUAGCGGUGAAAUGCGUAGAUAUUAGGAAGAACACCAGUGGCGAAGGCGACUUUCUGGACGAAAACUGACGCUGAGGCGCGAAAGCCAGGGGAGCGAACGGGAUUAGAUACCCCGGUAGUCCUGGCCGUAAACGAUGGGUACUAGGUGUAGGAGGUAUCGACCCCUUCUGUGCCGGAGUUAACGCAAUAAGUACCCCGCCUGGGGAGUACGACCGCAAGGUUGAAACUCAAAGGAAUUGACGGGGGCCCGCACAAGCGGUGGAGUAUGUGGUUUAAUUCGACGCAACGC
This 597-nucleotide ribosomal RNA is filed under the name Veillonella dispar. Its description in RNAcentral is "bacterial SSU rRNA". It matches the Rfam family "Bacterial small subunit ribosomal RNA", at positions 374 to 962 of the family's 1533-position model. The record is from RNAcentral. Lineage: Bacteria; Bacillati; Bacillota; Negativicutes; Veillonellales; Veillonellaceae.